RNAcentral lists this ribosomal RNA (484 nucleotides) under uncultured bacterium. Its description in RNAcentral is "bacterial SSU rRNA". It matches the Rfam family "Bacterial small subunit ribosomal RNA", at positions 28 to 526 of the family's 1533-position model. The record is from RNAcentral.
GACGAACGCUGGCGGCGUGCUUAACACAUGCAAGUCGAGCGAGGCCCUUCCUUCGGGAAGGUGUCCUAGCGGCGAACGGGUGAGUAACACGUGGGCAACCUGCCCUCAGCUCUGGGAUAACCCCGGGAAACCGGGGCUAAUACCGGAUACGACCAUGAGCGACAUCUCUUAUGGUGGAAAGAAUUUCGGCUGAGGAUGGGCCCGCGGCCUAUCAGCUUGUUGGUGGGGUAAUGGCCUACCAAGGCGACGACGGGUAGCCGGCCUGAGAGGGCGACCGGCCACACUGGGACUGAGACACGGCCCAGACUCCUACGGGAGGCAGCAGUGGGGAAUAUUGCGCAAUGGGCGAAAGCCUGACGCAGCGACGCCGCGUGAGGGACGAAGGCCUUCGGGUUGUAAACCUCUUUCAGCUCCGACGAAGCGAAAGUGACGGUAGGAGCAGAAGAAGCGCCGGCCAACUACGUGCCAGCAGCCGCCGUAACAC